GUGAUGUGGAGCGAAUCUCAAAAAAUUAGUCCCAGUUCGGAUUGCAGGCUGCAACUCGCCUGCAUGAAGUCGGAAUCGCUAGUAAUCGCGAAUCAGAAUGUCGCGGUGAAUACGUUCCCGGGCCUUGUACACACCGCCCGUCACACCAUGAGAGUCGAUAACACCCGAAGCCUGUGAGCUAACCUUAGGGGAGCAGCAGUCGAAGGUGGGGUUGAUGAUUAGGGUGAAGUCGUAACAAGGUAGC
This 244-nucleotide ribosomal RNA is filed under the name uncultured bacterium. Its description in RNAcentral is "partial 16S ribosomal RNA". It matches the Rfam family "Bacterial small subunit ribosomal RNA", at positions 1257 to 1500 of the family's 1533-position model. The record is from RNAcentral.